CACUCCUCCAAGAAUGCAACAAAUGAUGAGAAGAAGGAUAUGUGCAGAAAGGAAACCUCAAUAUCAUCCAACAAAAAACAACAACGGAGGACAAAGAUACAGAAGUCUAGCAAAAGAUAUGAAAAAGAUGUGAGACCGGUUGCUUCUAGAACAGUUGUUAAAACUGAAGCUCCUGAUGAUGAGAAGAUAAAAGGAGAGACAAAACAAAAGAGAUGUAAGCAGGAUUUUAAAAGAAAGGCUUCGCGAAAUAAAAAAAGGAGGUAGCAAACAUUCAAGCUACAAGUUCAGAUACAAUUACCAUAGAAGAUGAUUCUAAUAAUUACCACAGACAAAACAAGACAGAUGUCAGAAGGCCUACCAACAAGAAACUCAGAAGAGUUAU
Triticum aestivum (bread wheat) is the source of this 382-nucleotide long non-coding RNA. RefSeq lists it as uncharacterized. The record is from RefSeq and is a predicted model, not a curated record. Lineage: Eukaryota; Viridiplantae; Streptophyta; Magnoliopsida; Poales; Poaceae. The transcript has 3 exons.